This 402-nucleotide ribosomal RNA is filed under the name uncultured prokaryote. Its description in RNAcentral is "bacterial SSU rRNA". It matches the Rfam family "Bacterial small subunit ribosomal RNA", at positions 355 to 774 of the family's 1533-position model. The record is from RNAcentral.
UGGGGAAUCUUAGACAAUGGGGGAAACCCUGAUCUAGCCAUGCCGCGUGAGCGAUGAAGGCCUUAGGGUUGUAAAGCUCUUUCAGCUGGGAAGAUAAUGACGGUACCAGCAGAAGAAGCCCCGGCUAACUCCGUGCCAGCAGCCGCGGUAAUACGGAGGGGGCUAGCGUUGUUCGGAAUUACUGGGCGUAAAGCGCACGUAGGCGGACUGGUAAGUUGGGGGUGAAAUCCCGGGGCUCAACCCCGGAACUGCCUCCAAAACUCCCAGUCUUGAGGUCGAGAGAGGUGAGUGGAAUUCCGAGUGUAGAGGUGAAAUUCGUAGAUAUUCGGAGGAACACCAGUGGCGAAGGCGGCUCACUGGCUCGAUACUGACGCUGAGGUGCGAAAGCGUGGGGAGCAAACA